This 388-nucleotide unclassified non-coding RNA is filed under the name Hevea brasiliensis (rubber tree). Lineage: Eukaryota; Viridiplantae; Streptophyta; Magnoliopsida; Malpighiales; Euphorbiaceae. The record is from RNAcentral.
CUGGUGCCAAACCAACACAAGCUCUCAUUAUAUUCUCAAGCAUUGCCCUCUGCUUUGAAAGGGCAUUCACCACUGGAGUACCUGGUGGUACCAGGGGAGCCUUGGUGAGGUAGCUGAGAAUAGUAGCCACAGGGUGGAAGGAGUGGAACUUCCCCUCCCCUUCAGCUUUGAGCUGAAUGCGAGUGCUGAGUUCAGCGAGAAGGACCAAAUCCAAGAUAAUUGGAGCUGCCAAAAGAGAGUCCUCACAAGUGUUGUGCAUAACUAUAGUGCUCUUUCCGCCCAUGAAAAUCUCUGACAUGUACUCAUCCAUUGCCCUCUUGCUGUCUCCAACAUAUGGAACAUACUUGAUCACGACAACAUGGUCAGGGUGCUCGCCAGAUUCAUAGAG